UACAGAGGUCUCAAGCGUUGUUCGGAAUCACUGGGCGUAAAGGGUGCGUAGGCGGCGCAGCAAGUCAGAUGUGAAAUCCGGAGGCUCAACCUCCGAACUGCAUCCGAAACUGCUGUGCUCGAGAUCUGUAGAGGGACUUGGAAUUCUCGGUGUAGCAGUGAAAUGCGUAGAUAUCGAGAAGAACGCUCGUGGCGAAGGCGAAGUCCUGGGCAGAUUCUGACGCUGAGGCACGAAGGCCAGGGGAGCAAACAGG
This 253-nucleotide ribosomal RNA is filed under the name uncultured bacterium. Its description in RNAcentral is "partial 16S ribosomal RNA". It matches the Rfam family "Bacterial small subunit ribosomal RNA", at positions 524 to 776 of the family's 1533-position model. The record is from RNAcentral.